Molecule: ribosomal RNA, 305 nt
Filed under: uncultured bacterium
Lineage: Bacteria
Description: bacterial SSU rRNA
Rfam family: Bacterial small subunit ribosomal RNA
Source: RNAcentral
CCCUACGGGGCGCAGCAGUGGGGAAUAUUGGGCAAUGGGGGAAACCCUGACCCAGCAACGCCGCGUGAGGGAAGAAGGUUUUCGGAUCGUAAACCUCUGUCCUUGGUGAAGAGUAGAAGACGGUACCUCUUGAAUAAGCCACGGCUAACUACGUGCCAGCAGCCGCGGUAAUACGUAGGUGGCAAGCGUUGUCCGGAUUUACUGGGUGUAAAGGGCGUGUAGCCGGGUUGACAAGUCAGAUGUGAAAUCCUGCGGCUUAACCGCAGAACUGCAUUUGAAACUGUUGAUCUUGAGUACUGGAGAGG